GAUGAAGAACGCAGCGAAAUGCGAUAAGUAAUGUGAAUUGCAGAAUUCAGUGAAUCAUCGAAUGUUUGAACGCACCUUGCGCUCCUUGGUAUUCCGAGGAGCAUGCCUGUUUGAGUGUCAUUUCACCACUCAAGCCUGGCUUGGUGUUGGGCGACGUCCUCUUUGGGGACGCGCCUCGAAACGCUCGGCGGCGUGGCACCGGCUUUAAGCGUAGCAGAAUCUUUCGCUUUGGAAGUCGGGGCCCCGUCUGCCGGAAGACCUGCUCGCAAGGUUGACCUCGGAUCAGGCAGGGAUACCCGCUGAACUUAAGCAUAUCAAUAAGCGGAGGA
RNAcentral lists this unclassified non-coding RNA (329 nucleotides) under soil metagenome. Its description in RNAcentral is "partial contains 5.8S ribosomal RNA, internal transcribed spacer 2, and large subunit ribosomal RNA". The stretch from base 1 to 120 matches the Rfam family "5.8S ribosomal RNA", at positions 35 to 154 of the family's 154-position model. The record is from RNAcentral.